GGCUCAGAACGAACGCUGGCGGCAGGCUUAACACAUGCAAGUCGAGCGCCCCGCAAGGGGAGCGGCAGACGGGUGAGUAACGCGUGGGAAUCUACCCUUGACUACGGAAUAACGCAGGGAAACUUGUGCUAAUACCGUAUGUGUCCUUCGGGAGAAAGAUUUAUCGGUCAAGGAUGAGCCCGCGUUGGAUUAGCUAGUUGGUGGGGUAAAGGCCUACCAAGGCGACGAUCCAUAGCUGGUCUGAGAGGAUGAUCAGCCACAUUGGGACUGAGACACGGCCCAAACUCCUACGGGAGGCAGCAGUGGGGAAUAUUGGACAAUGGGCGCAAGCCUGAUCCAGCCAUGCCGCGUGAGUGAUGAAGGCCCUAGGGUUGUAAAGC
RNAcentral lists this ribosomal RNA (380 nucleotides) under Rhizobium leguminosarum. Its description in RNAcentral is "bacterial SSU rRNA". It matches the Rfam family "Bacterial small subunit ribosomal RNA", at positions 21 to 431 of the family's 1533-position model. Lineage: Bacteria; Pseudomonadati; Pseudomonadota; Alphaproteobacteria; Hyphomicrobiales; Rhizobiaceae. The record is from RNAcentral.